This 253-nucleotide ribosomal RNA is filed under the name uncultured bacterium. Its description in RNAcentral is "partial 16S ribosomal RNA". It matches the Rfam family "Bacterial small subunit ribosomal RNA", at positions 524 to 776 of the family's 1533-position model. The record is from RNAcentral.
UACAGAGGUCCCAAGCGUUGUUCGGAUUCACUGGGCGUAAAGGGUGCGUAGGCGGUCGGGUAAGUCUGAUGUGAAAUCUCACAGCUUAACUGUGAAACUGCAUUGGAUACUAUUUGGCUUGAGAGUUGGAGGGGGGACUGGAAUUCUUGGUGUAGCAGUGAAAUGCGUAGAUAUCAAGAGGAACACCAGUGGCGAAGGCGAGUCCCUGGACAACUUCUGACGCUGAGGCACGAAAGCUAGGGGAGCAAACAGG